This 595-nucleotide ribosomal RNA is filed under the name Salmonella enterica. Its description in RNAcentral is "bacterial SSU rRNA". It matches the Rfam family "Bacterial small subunit ribosomal RNA", at positions 920 to 1515 of the family's 1533-position model. The record is from RNAcentral. Lineage: Bacteria; Pseudomonadati; Pseudomonadota; Gammaproteobacteria; Enterobacterales; Enterobacteriaceae.
CCCGCACAAGCGGUGGAGCAUGUGGUUUAAUUCGAUGCAACGCGAAGAACCUUACCUGGUCUUGACAUCCACAGAAGAAUCCAGAGAUGGAUUUGUGCCUUCGGGAACUGUGAGACAGGUGCUGCAUGGCUGUCGUCAGCUCGUGUUGUGAAAUGUUGGGUUAAGUCCCGCAACGAGCGCAACCCUUAUCCUUUGUUGCCAGCGGUCCGGCCGGGAACUCAAAGGAGACUGCCAGUGAUAAACUGGAGGAAGGUGGGGAUGACGUCAAGUCAUCAUGGCCCUUACGACCAGGGCUACACACGUGCUACAAUGGCGCAUACAAAGAGAAGCGACCUCGCGAGAGCAAGCGGACCUCAUAAAGUGCGUCGUAGUCCGGAUUGGAGUCUGCAACUCGACUCCAUGAAGUCGGAAUCGCUAGUAAUCGUGGAUCAGAAUGCCACGGUGAAUACGUUCCCGGGCCUUGUACACACCGCCCGUCACACCAUGGGAGUGGGUUGCAAAAGAAGUAGGUAGCUUAACCUUCGGGAGGGCGCUUACCACUUUGUGAUUCAUGACUGGGGUGAAGUCGUAACAAGGUAACCGUAGGGGAACCUGC